Molecule: long non-coding RNA, 689 nt
Organism: Panicum virgatum (switchgrass)
Lineage: Eukaryota; Viridiplantae; Streptophyta; Magnoliopsida; Poales; Poaceae
Exons: 2
Source: RefSeq, a predicted model, not a curated record
CCAGAGCCGAGCGGAGCUCGAGCUCCCGCGCCAUCGUCGCCCCUUGCUUCGAUCUCCCUCCUCCGUCCACCAGACCUCGAUUCCUCGCGCAGGAACCUUCCUCGUCACCUCCUCCACCUUCCCAAACCCCUAAACCGGCUUAUCCCCGGCUGGAAUCUUUCCACCACCGCCGGACACCAUUGGGGGUGCUUGAAGCUUGCUCCACCGCCGAUCCGCCUCUCCGGUCGCCCUCCACUCGAACCGACUGCGGGAAUGGAUUCGUGCAUCCGCAUCUGAGGGAGCCGUCUUUGAGGCGAUCGCGGCACCACAAGAGCAAACGACGCAAGCCCAAGAGGAGAGGUGUGAGCACCCGGCCCAAGGCCCGUCUGGCCCCAGUGUUGAGCAGCAGGCGCAAGGCAAGCCCCGGUGCACAUCCUAGUAUUUUAAAUUAAGACACCUAUGUAUGUUUCUACUACUUGUGCAUUAAGUUCAGGAAUUGUUUGGAACCCUAGUUGCAUGAUUCAUAGGAUUCCCGGAGUUAUACUAGCAUGUAUAGGACGAUAGUUGUGCUAAGCUUAGCGUUACCGGUAGAAGACGAGUGGUCUCCUGCACUCGCGAGAUGUAGAAUGUUAGGAGUCGAGUAAUUUCCGGUUACUCGCGAGAUACGUUAUUAUCUUUAUAUGAUUCAGUAUGUGAGAUUGGUUUUGAAA